AUUGAACGCUGGCGGCAUGCCUUACACAUGCAAGUCGAACGGCAGCACGGGAGCAAUCCUGGUGGCGAGUGGCGAACGGGUGAGUAAUAUAUCGGAACGUGCCCGGUCGUGGGGGAUAACGUAGCGAAAGCUACGCUAAUACCGCAUACGAUCUACGGAUGAAAGCGGGGGAUCGCAAGACCUCGCGCGAUUGGAGCGGCCGAUAUCAGAUUAGGUAGUUGGUGAGGUAAAGGCUCACCAAGCCGACGAUCUGUAGCUGGUCUGAGAGGACGACCAGCCACACUGGGACUGAGACACGGCCCAGACUCCUACGGGAGGCAGCAGUGGGGAAUUUUGGACAAUGGGCGCAAGCCUGAUCCAGCAAUGCCGCGUGCAGGAUGAAGGCCUUCGGUUGUAAC
RNAcentral lists this ribosomal RNA (398 nucleotides) under uncultured bacterium. RNAcentral's name for it is "bacterial SSU rRNA". It matches the Rfam family "Bacterial small subunit ribosomal RNA", at positions 30 to 429 of the family's 1533-position model. The record is from RNAcentral.